RNA transcript from Cercocebus atys (sooty mangabey), 1151 nucleotides. It is a transcript of the gene named DNA mismatch repair protein Msh6-like, with no coding region annotated. The transcript has 7 exons. The record is from RefSeq and is a predicted model, not a curated record. Lineage: Eukaryota; Metazoa; Chordata; Mammalia; Primates; Cercopithecidae.
AAACUAUUGAGAAGAAGUUGGCUAAUCUCAUAAAAAAAAAAAAAAGGAGAGAUGUAUCAUUGAAGGACUGCAUGCGACGACUGUUCAAAAAAAAAAAUAAAAAUUACAAGGACUGGCAGUCUGCUGUAGAGUGUAUCGAAAUAACAGAUGUCUUACUGUGCCUGGCUAACUACAGUCAAAAAAAAAAAGGUCCUAUGUGUCGCCCAGUAAUUCUGUUGCCAGAAGAUACCCCCCCCUUCUUAGAGCUUAAAGGAUCACGCCAUCCUUGCAUUACAAAGACUUUUUUUGGAGAUGAUUUUAUUCCUAAUGACAUUCUAAUAGGCUGUGAGGAAGAAAAAAAAAAAAAUGGCAAAGCCUAUUGUGUGCUUGUUACUGGACCAAAUAUGGGGGGCAAACCUUUUAAAAAAAAAAACACAGGCUGGCUUAUUAGCUGUAAUGGCCCAGAUGGGUUGUAAAAAAAAAAAUGAAGUGUGCAGGCUCACACCAAUUGAUAGAGUGUUUACUAAAAAAAAAAAAUCAGAUAGAAUAAUGUCAGGUGAAAGUACAUUUUUUGUUGAAUAAAAAAAAAAAGCCAGCAUACUUAUGCAUGCAACAGCACAUUCUCUGGUGCUAAAAAAAAAAAUAGGAAGAGGUACUGCAACAUUUGAUGGGACAGCAAUAGCAAAUGCAGUUGUUAAAGAACUUGCUGAGACUAUAAAAUGUCGUACAUUAUUUUCAACUCACUACCAUUCAUUAGUGGAAGAUUAUUCUCAAAAUGUUGCUGUGCGCUUAGGACAUAUGGCAUGCAUGGUAGAAAAUGAAUGUGAAGACCCCAGCCAGGAGACUAUUACCUUCCUCUAUAAAUUCAUUAAGGGAGCUUGUCCUAAAAGCUAUGGCUUUAAUGCAGCAAGGCUUGCUAAUCUCCCAGAGGAAGUUAUUCAAAAGGGACAUAGAAAAGCAAGAGAAUUUGAGAAGAUGAAUCAGUCUCUACGAUUAUUUCGGGAAGUUUGCCUGGCUAGUGAAAGGUCAACUGUAGAUGCUGAAGCUGUCCAUAAAUUGCUGACUUUGAUUAAGGAAUUAUAGACUACAUUGGAAGCUUUGAGUUGACUUCUGACAAACUUGGUAAAUUCAGACAACAUUAUGAUCUAAUAAACUUUAUUUUUUAAAAAUGA